UACCUGCAGCUCAAGUGGUGGCCGCUAUUAUUGGGCCUAAAACGUUCGUAGCCGGUUUGGUAAAUGUCUGGGUAAAUUGUGUAGCUUAACUAUACAAAUUCCGGGUAGACUGCCAAACUUGAGACCGGGAGAAGCUAGAGGUACUCCUGGGGUAGAGGUGAAAUUCUGUAAUCCUGGGGGGACCACCAGUGGCGAAGGCGUCUAGCUAGAACGGGUUUGACGGUGAGGAACGAAGCCCUGGGGCGCAAACCGGAUUAGAUACCCGGGGUAGUCCAGGGUGUAAACGCUGCUUGCUUGAUGUUAGUUGGGCUCCGAGCCCAAUUAGUGUCGGAGAGAAGUUGUUAAGCAAGCUGCCUGGGAAUACGAUCGCAAGAUUGAAACUUAAGGAAUUGGCGGGGGAGCACAGCAACGGGUGGAGCGUGCGGUUU
RNAcentral lists this ribosomal RNA (428 nucleotides) under uncultured archaeon. RNAcentral's name for it is "bacterial SSU rRNA". It matches the Rfam family "Archaeal small subunit ribosomal RNA", at positions 474 to 903 of the family's 1478-position model. The record is from RNAcentral.